RNAcentral lists this ribosomal RNA (490 nucleotides) under uncultured bacterium. RNAcentral describes it as "partial 16S ribosomal RNA". It matches the Rfam family "Bacterial small subunit ribosomal RNA", at positions 29 to 507 of the family's 1533-position model. The record is from RNAcentral.
AAUGAACGCUGGCGGCAUGCCUUACACAUGCAAGUCGAACGGCAGCAUGACCUAGCUUGCUAGGUUGAUGGCGAGUGGCGAACGGGUGAGUAAUGCAUCGGAACGUGCCUUUUAGUGGGGGAUAACGUAGCGAAAGUUACGCUAAUACCGCAUAUUCUCUGAGGAGGAAAGCAGGGGACCUUCGGGCCUUGCGCUAGAAGAGCGGCCGAUGUCGGAUUAGCUAGUUGGUGAGGUAAAGGCUCUCCAAGGCAACGAUCCGUAGCGGGUCUGAGAGGAUGAUCCGCCACACUGGGACUGAGACACGGCCCAGACUCCUACGGGAGGCAGCAGUGGGGAAUUUUGGACAAUGGGCGCAAGCCUGAUCCAGCCAUGCCGCGUGAGUGAAGAAGGCCUUCGGGUUGUAAAGCUCUUUCGGCUGGGAAGAAAUCGCACCCUCUAAUACAGGGUGUGGAUGACGGUACCAGCAUAAGAAGCACCGGCUAACUACGUG